Molecule: long non-coding RNA, 1429 nt
Filed under: Chrysemys picta bellii (western painted turtle)
Lineage: Eukaryota; Metazoa; Chordata; Testudines; Emydidae
Description: lncRNA (ENSCPBG00000006477.1)
Source: RNAcentral
AGCUUGCACCCAUGGAUCCACUGCCUGUGCAGCCGUAACUGACUUAGCUGUGCACUGAAACUUCCAGGGCAGCCAGGGACACUCGGGCCUGCAGAAAGGUCUCCCAUAGACCCUAUAGGGCCUGUGGGGGCAGAAGAGAGGUAGCUGCAAGCUCUGUGCAUUGUGCAGGUGGAGUCCAACUCUGGGGCACCUCAGUCGCAGCCUUAAAACUGGUCUACUAAAGUUACAAGCCAACGCAGAGGGAAGAUGUGCCAGCCCGAUUUCAGCAUGUACCAGCAGUGGUGUCUAGAUGCCCAAGAUGCCCUUGUGCUGUGUGUUCUACAGACCCUCUCGGCACCAAAAAAGUCAAAGAAGGAAAGAAGAAAUUGUGGGACAGAUUACCCAAGAUCAUACAGCGAGUUCAUGGACUACAACCCAGGAAAGGAGUGAGUCGGUGGCUUCCCUAUGAGCUGUUAAUCCAAGGUAGGUCACAGUCGCAGUUCCAACCAUCCAGACUCGAUCAGCCUGAAGUCCUUUGCGGAUGGAGAUCUGGUUUCCCUGCUCCCAACAGUGCUGCUAAACAAGACUAGGGCUGGAUUUUCAAAACGGCCUAAGUGUUUUCUGAAUUUAUGCACCUGAUGAAGCCCGUUGAGGUUCACCUUUUCAGUGUGCUGGUUUAGGUGAAAACAACAGAGGAAACGGUGUUAAUCACUAACUCACUCUGAGUCAGUUCACUGGUGGUAAGCAGCUGAUUGAGAGGAAGGAUGGCUUUGUGGGAGGGGGCUAGCCUGGGUCUCAGGAGUUCCAGGUUCAACCAACCCUGGCUCUACCACAGGCUUCCUCUGUGACUGUGGGCAAGUCACUUAGGGUGGGAUCCACACAGAGACUUAGGCACUGUGUCACUCAGCAUGGUAUCAUCUAAAAAAUCCCAGGAACAGCGCUACGAUCCACAAAGCCUGAGUUAGGCAACUUGGCUCCCUAUACAAUGAAGGGGAGAGAGAGGUGCCUAAGAAUGGGAUCAACAAAAACCAGCAGGCUACACGGGGAGAUCCCUAAUCUAGCCAAUGGAAAUGCUGACCAGAGGGGUAUGUGCUAAGCCCUGCCCUCUCCCAGAGAGAGGCAUAUAAGUGCAGGAUGCAGAAGGUGCUUAGCUCUGCAAAGCCACCCGUGAACAGGGACCCACCGCCUGGAAUCACUCCUUGAGGGAAUGAGUUAAGUGCCUACCUCACUCCAAUCAAAAUGGGAAGAGGCCCUGCCCACCUUAUAACUUCUAGCACAGUGGUUAGUGCAUUGGCCUGGGAUGUGGGAGGCCCAGGUUCAAUUCCUCCUCUGCCAGAGGCUCUCAAACCUCUCAAGGGCAUGCUCCAGCCACUGGGCUAUGGGGUAUUCUGAUGUAGGGCUUCCUCACUCUCUCCUGUUGAAGCUGUUUCACUGAGGAUAAACACAGCCA